RNAcentral lists this transfer RNA (73 nucleotides) under Paramuricea clavata. It matches the Rfam family "tRNA". From Rfam's summary of the family: Transfer RNA (tRNA) molecules are approximately 80 nucleotides in length. Their secondary structure includes four short double-helical elements and three loops (D, anti-codon, and T loops). Lineage: Eukaryota; Metazoa; Cnidaria; Anthozoa; Malacalcyonacea; Plexauridae. The record is from Rfam by way of RNAcentral.
GACCGCGUAGCUCAGUUGGCAGAGCAUUGGACUAGUAUUCCAAAGGUCGUAGGUUCGAUUCUCACCGUGGUCA